Molecule: ribosomal RNA, 224 nt
Filed under: uncultured bacterium
Lineage: Bacteria
Description: partial 16S ribosomal RNA
Rfam family: Bacterial small subunit ribosomal RNA
Source: RNAcentral
UACGUAGAAGACUAGUGUUAUUCAUCUUUAAUAGGUUUAAAGGGUACCUAGACGGUAUUAAUUAGUCUUUAACAGGAAACGGUUAUACUAGAGUUAUAUAAUGAGGAGGUGAGUAUUUGUGGAGUAGAGUUGAAAUUCUUUGAUACCAUGAAGACUGGUAAAGGCGAAAGCAACCUUUUAUCUAAUAACUGACGUUGAGGGACGAAGGCUCGGGUCGCGAACAG